Long non-coding RNA from Megalobrama amblycephala (Wuchang bream), 397 nucleotides. RefSeq lists it as uncharacterized. Lineage: Eukaryota; Metazoa; Chordata; Actinopteri; Cypriniformes; Xenocyprididae. The transcript has 3 exons. The record is from RefSeq and is a predicted model, not a curated record.
UAAACAAUAUGCUGCAAUACCAUCCUGGAGCUGCUGCAAUGGUUUUAAAUGUGUAAAAGUUAAACAAGAGAUGUCAAAUCACAUGGGAAGUGUAGCUCAAAGUCUACGCAACAUCACCGAUGUUGAAGGGAAGCAUACCACUCUCAAGGACCAGGAGGAAAUGAAAAUGCAUGCAUAUAUAUAUACACACGCUGAGGAAAACAAGAGCAGAGCAAAGCAAAGAACAUGGUCAUAAAAAACCUGUCCAUCAGUCAUGGAAGGCAGGUGAGAGGGAAGAGAACAUCCCAACCCCCUGCUAAAGUUCUUCAGGCCCCGACUUGGCCCACCUUGAGAACCCACAGAUCAAAGGUCGAGGGGUCGGAUAAACAGCCCUAGCAGCAGGAGUCAUGGGUUAGGC